Long non-coding RNA from Triticum dicoccoides, 434 nucleotides. RefSeq lists it as uncharacterized. The transcript is spliced from 2 exons. Lineage: Eukaryota; Viridiplantae; Streptophyta; Magnoliopsida; Poales; Poaceae. The record is from RefSeq and is a predicted model, not a curated record.
UCUAGCUUCAUUUCCUCUUUGGGUGCUUAUACCUCGAGACAUGGCGGUACUCAAGGCCAAGAUGCCGGCCUUGUGCUCCCUCUUGCUCAUGGCACUCCUGUUGUUUCCUGGAUCUGAAGGCAAGACUUGCUCGGAGGUCAGCAGGACAUACACUCCUCUCUUAUGUGGGGACGACACAUGUGCUACUCACUGCCACAAGGAGGGCUUCCCUGGAUCGAAGUGUGUGAUCACCUCCUUCGACCCUCCCUUUUCAAUCUGCCUCUGCAAGAAGCCUUGCUGAUGAUGCUUGUGGAGCACUAGUAUAUUGCUUGUGUGUUUAAUGAACUAUACAUGUGGACAUUUAUGUUGUAUUUGCUGUGAUUAGCGGAUCAACAUAGAAUUCACGCAAGGCAAUAUAAUAAAGGUGGAAUUGCGAUAGAAUUCGCCGCCCUUUU